Oncorhynchus mykiss (rainbow trout) is the source of this 3404-nucleotide non-coding RNA. Lineage: Eukaryota; Metazoa; Chordata; Actinopteri; Salmoniformes; Salmonidae. The record is from RefSeq and is a predicted model, not a curated record.
UGAUCACUGGUUCAGAGACAUGGGAGGAAUAUGUCUUCUGAAAACUACAACUCCCAGAAUACCUUUCACAGGAAUAAACACGAAGAAGCGAGUGCAGCCCCAGGAGCAGUGGUAUGACAUCACACGAGACAACAAGAAGGAAGACCUGACUCUAGACUUUGACUGCCAGACGUCAUUCUCAAAACAGUCUAAUCACGUGCCAGAAGACGAUGCCCGACCGCUGUGUGGCGUAUGGGUGUGGCAAGUCGUGGGAAGAUGGUGUUACUCUGUACAAUUUCCCUAACAAUGACACAGAGGAGUUUCACAAAUGGGAGAAGCAGGUCCAGCGGACUCGGAGCAACUGGACCGCCUCGCCGAACUCCCAGCUUUGCUGUGAACACUUUGGUAAGGAGUGUUUUGAAAACAAGCCCUACCCCGUCCUCAAGGCUCUCGCUGCCAAAGGACAGCUGAAGCUGAAGUAUGGGGCUGUCCCCACAGUGUUCAUACGGCCCCCCUGCACCUCCUGUGAGGGCUUCGGCUGCAACGUGUGCACCCCCAAAGCCCAGAGACGUGGCGUCCCUGUAGAACCACAGGAAUAUGACACGGAGGAUGUUGAGGGGGGACCUCUGCAGUCGGAUGACACUGAUGCAGAGGAUGACGAUGACGAAGAUGAAGAUGAAGAUGAUGAAGAUGAGAUGGAUGAUUAUUUUGGAGAUUACUACUCUGCUCUCACUAUAGAUGACGGACCGGUGGUGUGUGAGAUGUGUGGCUUCAGCGGGACCAGAGACACCUUCUAUUCCAAGACCAAGCGUUUCUGCAGCGUCUCCUGCUCCAGAGCCUACUCCUCCAACUGCAAGAAGUCCUCUAUCCUGGCACGACUUCAGGGAAAGCCUCCCACCAAGAAGGCCAAGGUGCUGAUUAAGACUGCCUGGUCCACCCAGAUGGGAAACAUGAUUGCUUCUCUGGGAAGCAGUCAGGACAACAGCUCCAGCUCUACUGGACAGGAUGUUGCAGCAACAGGAAACUUUGACUGGGGUGCUUACCUGGAGAAGGCAGGCUCUCUUGCUGCUUCAGUGGCCUGCUUCAGACAUGCGCCACUCUGUGCCCAGUGGGAUGACAUCACAGUGAGGUUAAAGGUAGAGGUCCUGAACACUAGUGCCAUCCUGCCCAGUAAAGUGUAUUGGAUCGCUAGCAUCAUCCAACUUGCAGGCUAUAAAGCUCGGUUGAGGUACGAGGGCUUUGAGGAGGACAGCAGCCAGGACUUCUGGUGCAGCCUGGGUUCUGGAGACAUGUACCCCAUCGGAUGGUGUGCCAUGACCGGCAAGCUGCUGGUGCCACCACAGGCUGUGCACCAGAACAUCUCUGACUGGAAGGAGUAUCUGAUGAACCGGCUGGUUGGAGCCAGAACUUUGCCUGUGGACUUCUAUAUGAAGCUGGCCGAGAGUAUGAAGUGUCCGUUCCGUACUGGCAUGCGUGUGGAGGUGGUGGACCGCACUCUGGUGAGCCGGACACGGCUGGCAGUGGUGGACACUGUGACCGGAGGCCGCCUAAGACUGGUCUAUGAGGACGGGGAGCAGGAGGCCAAAGGGGAGCCCCUCUCUGAUGUCUGGUGCCAUAUGUGGAGCCCCCUUCUGCACCCAGUGGGCUGGUCCAGCAAAGUGGGUCAUGUCAUCAAACUGGCUGACGUUGACCACCCAACAUUCCGUAAGGUGUACUGUGAUAGCGUCCCCAUGCUGUUUAAGAAGCCCAGGACUGUGUACAUGGAAGGAGGCUUCUUUGAGGUGGGAAUGAAGCUGGAGGCCAUCAAUCCUGUAAACCUGGGCAACAUCUGUGUGGCCACUAUACAAAAGGUGCUGUUGGAUGGCUACCUGAUGGUGGGCAUUGAUGGGUCAGGUGAUGGGUCUGACUGGUUCUGCUACCAUGCUUCCUCCCAUGCCAUCCUACCCAAGGGAUAUUGCCAGAAGCACAACAUCCAGCUCACACCACCCCCUGGCUAUGACUGGAAAACCUUCUCCUGGGCAAAAUACCUUGAGGAGAAGGGAGCCAGAACAGCGCCAGCACAGCUCUUCAACACGGACAGCUCAGGUCACGGCUUCACUCAGAAAAUGAAGUUGGAAGCUGUGGACCUGAUGGAGCCGUGGCUGGUGUGCGUCGCCACCGUGAGGCGCUGUGUGGGCCGGCUGCUACUGCUGCACUUUGAUGGCUGGGAGCCGGACUUUGACCAGUGGGUGGACGUUCAGUCACCAGACAUCUACCCUGUGGGCUGGUGCGAGGUCACAGGAUACCAGCUCCAGCCACCCAUUGGACCAGAUCCUGUUGCAAGUCGCAAGAAACACAAGCCUAUGGGGAAAAAGAAGAAAAGGAUGGUGAAGAAGAAACUGGCGAACUUCAUCUCCAAGAACCGCCCCCCAAGACGUCCGAGCCAACAGUCUGAACCUGAGGCCGGAACCCCAGAACAGUCAGACCACACAUCCGUCACACAGCAGAUUAAGGCUGAACCUGAGGAGCAGGAGAGUGAGUAGACACACAUCCCUCACACAGCAGAUUAAGGCUGAACCUGAGGAGCAGGAGAGUGAGUAGACACACAUCCCUCACACAGCAGAUUAAGGCUGAACCUGAGGAGCAGGAGAGUGAGUAGACACACAUCCCUCACACAGCAGAUUAAGGCUGAACCUGAGGAGCAGGAGAGUGAGUAGACACACAUCCCUCACACAGCAGAUUAAGGCUGAACCUGAGGAGCAGGAGAGUGAGUAGACACAUCCCUCACACAGCAGAUUAAGGCAGAACCUGAGGAGCAGGAGAGUGAGUAGACACACAUCCCUCACACAGCAGAUUAAGGCUGAACCUGAGGAGCAGGAGAGUGAGUAGACACACAUCCCUCACACAGCAGAUUAAGGCUGAACCUGAGGAGCAGGAGAUCAUAGCAGUGAAGGUGGAGGAGGUGGAGACCCCCAUCGCACCGACCCUGCCAGAGGCCCAGGUCCCUCCACCCUCCCUGGGGGUGGUCAAGCAGGAGCCACAGGGAGAGGACCAGCAGAAAGCAACAGACAGAGGUGGAACCGAUGGAACGUUGAGACUCACUGAAAUUGAUAUACCCUGAAUACAAUUAUCCAAACUGACCGUAGAUGAAUGUCUGUGGUUAACUUCAUUCUACACCAUCACAGCCUUGGAUCACCUGAACCUGAAGAUCAGAUGAGUCUGUUGAGCUGGUCCCACUUCUGAACAUUCUCUGCUCUGGAGCUGAAUAAAACUGUUCCAGUUUAACAGAAAGGCCAAUACUGUGACACCCGUUAAGGACAUUCUUCCAUACAUUGAAUAACAAACACCCAGUCGAUGUUGUUGUAUAAUGUUUAUUUGUUUUAUAUCCAGAUUCCUUUUGGUUGUUGUAUAUACAAUCCUGGAUUAAAGUACUUCAGUGAACUGGU